RNAcentral lists this ribosomal RNA (645 nucleotides) under bacterium SL4.8. Its description in RNAcentral is "bacterial SSU rRNA". It matches the Rfam family "Bacterial small subunit ribosomal RNA", at positions 56 to 748 of the family's 1533-position model. The record is from RNAcentral.
UGGCAGUCGACGAGACCUUCGGGUCUAGUGGCGCACGGGUGCGUAACGCGUGGGAACCUGCCUUUAGGUUCGGAAUAACUCAGAGAAAUUUGAGCUAAUACCGGAUAAUGUCUUCGGACCAAAGAUUUAUCGCCUUUAGAUGGGCCCGCGUUGGAUUAGCUAGUUGGUGGGGUAAAGGCCUACCAAGGCGACGAUCCAUAGCUGGUCUGAGAGGAUGAUCAGCCACACUGGGACUGAGACACGGCCCAGACUCCUACGGGAGGCAGCAGUGGGGAAUAUUGGACAAUGGGCGAAAGCCUGAUCCAGCAAUGCCGCGUGAGUGAUGAAGGCCUUAGGGUUGUAAAGCUCUUUUACCAGGGAUGAUAAUGACAGUACCUGGAGAAUAAGCUCCGGCUAACUCCGUGCCAGCAGCCGCGGUAAUACGGAGGGAGCUAGCGUUGUUCGGAAUUACUGGGCGUAAAGCGCACGUAGGCGGCUUUUUAAGUCAGGGGUGAAAUCCCGGGGCUCAACCCCGGAACUGCCCUUGAAACUGGGAAGCUAGAAUCUUGGAGAGGCGAGUGGAAUUCCGAGUGUAGAGGUGAAAUUCGUAGAUAUUCGGAAGAACACCAGUGGCGAAGGCGACUCGCUGGACAAGUAUUGACGCUG